CCGGACCUGACUGCUAUCGGAUUGGUACUAAGCCAUGCGAGUCGUUGUAGCAAUACAAGGCGGACGGCUCAGUAACACGUAGUCAACCUAACCUAUGGACGUGGAUAACCUCGGGAAACUGAGAAUAAACCGCGAUAGAUCAUUAUGCCUGGAAUGGCUUAUGGUUCAAACAAUUUAUUGCCGUAGGAUGGGACUGCGGCCUAUCAGCUUGUUGGUGAGGUAAUGGCCCACCAAGGCUAUAACAAGUACGGGCUCUGAGAGGAGAAGCCCGGAGAUGGGUACUGAGACACGGACCCAGGCCCUAUGGGGCGCAGCAGGCGAGAAACCUUAGCAAUGUGCGAAAGCACGACUAGGUUAAUCCGAGUGAUUUCUGUUGAAGAAAUCUUUUGUCAGUCGUAAAACCACAGACGAAUAAGGGGUGGGCAAGUCUGGUGUCAGCCGCCGCGGUAAUACCAGCACCUCGAGUGGUCAGGAGGUUUAUUGGGCCUAAAGCAUCCGUAGCCGGCUACGCAAGUCUCCGGUUAAAUCCAGCUGCUCAACAGAUGGGCUGCCGGAGAUACUACAUAGCUAGGGAGCGGGAGAGGUAGACGGUAUUCUGUGGGUAGGGGUAAAAUCCACUGAUCCAUAGAGGACCACCAGUGGCGAAGGCGGUCUACCAGAACGCGUUCGACGGUGAGGGAUGAAAGCUGGGGGAGCAAACCGGAUUAGAUACCCGGGUAGUCCCAGCUGUAAACGAUGCAAACUCGGUGAUGCAUUGGCUUAUGGCCAAUGCAGUGCCGCAGGGAAGCCGUUAAGUUUGCCGCCUGGGAAGUACGGACGCAAGUCUGAAACUUAAAGGAAUGG
RNAcentral lists this ribosomal RNA (843 nucleotides) under uncultured archaeon. Its description in RNAcentral is "bacterial SSU rRNA". It matches the Rfam family "Archaeal small subunit ribosomal RNA", at positions 17 to 867 of the family's 1478-position model. The record is from RNAcentral.